CCCGAAAUAGCUUUAGGGCUAGCCUCAAGGUGAGAGAUACGGAGGUAGAGCACUGAAUGUCCUAGGGGGGAUUGCACCUACCGAAGACUAUCAAACUCCGAAUGCCGUCAUCUUAUACUUGGGAGUCAGACUGUGGGUGAUAAGAUUCAUAGUCGAAAGGGCAACAGCCCAGAUCGUCAGCUAAGGUCCCUAAAUGUAAGUUAAGUGGUAAAGGAUGUGGGAUUGCACAGACAACCAGGAUGUUGGCUUAGAAGCAGCCACUCAUUCAAAGAGUGCGUAAUAGCUCACUGGUCGAGUGAUCCUGCGCCGAAGAUUUCCGGGGCUAAA
This 327-nucleotide ribosomal RNA is filed under the name Clostridioides difficile. RNAcentral describes it as "partial 23S ribosomal RNA". It matches the Rfam family "Bacterial large subunit ribosomal RNA", at positions 858 to 1185 of the family's 2925-position model. The record is from RNAcentral. Lineage: Bacteria; Bacillati; Bacillota; Clostridia; Peptostreptococcales; Peptostreptococcaceae.